UACGGAAGGUGCAAGCGUUAGUCGGAGUUAUUGGGCGUAAAGGGUGCGUAGGCGGCGUUUUAAGUUGGAUAUGAAAUUUUGGGGCUCAACCUCAAAGCUAUAUCCAAAACUGGAAUGCUAGAGGGAUGGCGGAGAAAACGGAAUUCCAUGUGUAGCGGUGAAAUGCGUAGAUAUAUGGAAGAACACCUGUGGCGAAAGCGGUUUUCUAGCCUCCUCCUGACGCUAAGGCACGAAAGCAAGGGGAGCAAAC
Molecule: ribosomal RNA, 250 nt
Filed under: uncultured bacterium
Lineage: Bacteria
Description: partial 16S ribosomal RNA
Rfam family: Bacterial small subunit ribosomal RNA
Source: RNAcentral